This 468-nucleotide ribosomal RNA is filed under the name Triticum aestivum (bread wheat). RNAcentral's name for it is "partial small subunit ribosomal RNA". The record is from RNAcentral. Lineage: Eukaryota; Viridiplantae; Streptophyta; Magnoliopsida; Poales; Poaceae.
AUGGGGAGAGAAGGGAGGCAAAGCCCAGAAAAUUUGCAAGGUGCAUCUGGCCUAGAAAAAGGUGCAGAAAGGAGUUCACCAUCACGUGAAGGAUCAGAUGAUGGGAACAACCCAGAGAAAGGAGACUGGCAGCAACGAUGCAGCCCAGCAAGCGGCAGGUUUGUAAGCCUAGUAAAAGAAGCAAAAACGCCAGUAAGCGGGAAUUUGGCAAUUCCAGAAGCAAGUGUUUCUUUUCCAAUAGCGUACGGACGAAGCUUGUUAGAUCUCUCUCCAGCGGAAGCGUUUCAAAUAAAUUCAGUGACGAUGAAGAGUAAAGGGCAACGACGUUUGGACAUCGAUGAACCAGAAAUUUUUGAAGAUGCAAAGAUGGAAGAGUGUUGGCGUCGUGCUAUGGAUGAAGAGUUGGGUUCGAUCCGAGACAACGAUACGUGGGAGCUCAUGGAUCUUCCCAACGGCAUAAUGUCAUAG